AUUGAACGCUGGCGGCAUGCCUUACACAUGCAAGUCGAACGGCAGCACGGGGCAACCUGGUGGCGAGUGGCGAACGGGUGAGUAAUGCAUCGGAACGUGCCAUUGAGUGGGGGAUAACGUAGCGAAAGUUGCGCUAAUACCGCAUAUUCUGUGAGCAGGAAAGCAGGGGACCGCAAGGCCUUGCGCUCUUUGAGCGGCCGAUGUCAGAUUAGCUAGUUGGUGAGGUAACGGCUUACCAAGGCGACGAUCUGUAGCGGGUCUGAGAGGAUGAUCCGCCACACUGGAACUGAGACACGGUCCAGACUCCUACGGGAGGCAGCAGUGGGGAAUUUUGGACAAUGGGCGCAAGCCUGAUCCAGCCAUGCCGCGUGAGUGAAGAAG
RNAcentral lists this ribosomal RNA (381 nucleotides) under uncultured bacterium. RNAcentral's name for it is "bacterial SSU rRNA". It matches the Rfam family "Bacterial small subunit ribosomal RNA", at positions 30 to 413 of the family's 1533-position model. The record is from RNAcentral.